RNAcentral lists this ribosomal RNA (500 nucleotides) under uncultured bacterium. RNAcentral's name for it is "partial 16S ribosomal RNA". It matches the Rfam family "Bacterial small subunit ribosomal RNA", at positions 30 to 523 of the family's 1533-position model. The record is from RNAcentral.
AUUGAACGCUGGCGGCAUGCUUUACACAUGCAAGUCGAACGGUAACAGGGAGCUUGCUCCGCUGACGAGUGGCGAACGGGUGAGUAAUGUAUCGGAACGUACCUUUUAGUGGGGGAUAACGUAGCGAAAGUUACGCUAAUACCGCAUAUUCUCUGAGGAGGAGAGCAGGGGACCUUCGGGCCUUGCGCUAAUAGAGCGGCUGAUAUCAGAUUUGCUAGUUGGUGAGGUAAUGGCUCACCAAGGCGACGAUCUGUAGCGGGUCCGAGAGGAUGGUCCGCCACACUGGAACUGAGACACGGUCCAGACUCCUACGGGAGGCAGCAGUGGGGGAUUUUGGACAAUGGGGGCAACCCUGAUCCAGCCAUGCCGCGUGAGUGAAGAAGGCCUUCGGGUUGUAAAGCUCUUUCGGCCGGGAAAAAAUCGCAUGGGUUAAUACCCUGUGUGGAUGAUGGUACCGGAAUAAGAAGCACCGGCUAACUACGUGCCAGCCGCCGCCGUAA